AGGGAGGGUAGACAGUUGGAAACGACUGCUAAUACCGCAUAACGCUGCGAUGGGGCAUCCCGAUGCAGCCAAAGGAGCAAUCCGCUGGAAGAUGGGCUCGCGGCCGAUUAGCUAGUUGGUGGGGCAACGGCCCACCAAGGCGACGAUCGGUAGCCGGACUGAGAGGUUGAUCGGCCACAUUGGGACUGAGACACGGCCCAGACUCCUACGGAAGGCAGCAG
RNAcentral lists this ribosomal RNA (221 nucleotides) under uncultured bacterium. Its description in RNAcentral is "partial 16S ribosomal RNA". It matches the Rfam family "Bacterial small subunit ribosomal RNA", at positions 135 to 354 of the family's 1533-position model. The record is from RNAcentral.